AGCAGCUUUACCGCCCGCUCUGCUCUCCACUGCGGAGACUGGGGCUCCGGCAGAGGCUGGACCGUGAUCUUGAGGUUCAGGGGUGCAUUCUGGGUGGAUUCCCUUGGCAUGGGUGGUCGGCCCUCAGCAACUGCAGCCCUCAUUUGGCUCUGUCACCCUGGGCUGCCAGGACACAAGUCUUUCCAUGCUUUUCCCAGUGCUUGACUUGGCACUCCCUGCAGGCAGGCCCUGACCCGGAACUGUGGCCCAUGGGCAGAGAUAGUCCCUCACCUUGUGGAAGAACACUGUCUCCAAGAGGUUGAUGAUGGAGGCCUCGUGGUGCACCUGUCAGAUAAAGAGAAGGACAGGGCCUGAGGAAGGGAUAGGGGCUACCAGCUCUCCUCCCCGGUCCAGAGCCCUCUGAAGGAGUGAGAAGAGCUCCUGAAUGGGCUCGCCCUGGCUGACUGUGGCAUCGAGGAUGGCUUGCAUGUUCAGCUUCUCCAGGUUCUCAUGCUGCUGGUUCCACCUGCCUCAGAGGCAGAUCUCGUCAUAGCUGUGGCAGCCUGUAUAAAGCCGGGCAGGGUGGCUCUGCUCUUCCCGAGUCACCCGCACAGGAUACUUCUGUAGUCGCCUGAUGAGGUUCUUCAUAAGCCCGAACUGGAUCAGCUUCCUAGGUCUCCCUUCAAUUUUGUCUCUGUAGCCCAUCAUCUCCAGGAAGCCUGCUUGGAUUGGCAGUGCCCCAUGAUCCAGGGCUCCUGAGAGACAUAAAGGGUCUAGCUUCCCUCAGG
Molecule: long non-coding RNA, 767 nt
Filed under: Homo sapiens (human)
Lineage: Eukaryota; Metazoa; Chordata; Mammalia; Primates; Hominidae
Description: HSALNT0311778
Source: RNAcentral